Long non-coding RNA from Salvia miltiorrhiza (redroot sage), 426 nucleotides. RefSeq lists it as uncharacterized. The record is from RefSeq and is a predicted model, not a curated record. Lineage: Eukaryota; Viridiplantae; Streptophyta; Magnoliopsida; Lamiales; Lamiaceae. The transcript is spliced from 4 exons.
CUCUCACUCUCACUUCAUUUCACCAAGAAUUAUUGAAGAUCAGUGCCUAUCUUGUUCCUGCCAAGUUCUCACGAAUUAUUCCAGUUCAUCUAGUACCUCAACAAGCAGCCAAAAACCAAACAUUCACAAGGUCAAGCGCGAGAGUAAGAACUACACAAGGAGUUAGAGUACCUUAGCAAAACUUUGCUAUCAGGUUGAGCUGUGAUGGGCGAUGAAGUGUUGCUGAGUGGAGUUUUUGUCGAACUUAAAGUAGGCUCAGAAAGGAUACAUGUCUUCAUACAUGUAUCUCAGUUAUGCAUUCCGCUGUAAACACUGAUUAUUUAAGUUACACCUUCCGUUGCAAACUCUGAUAAUGUUUUAGCCAAACCCCUAACGAUGCCUUUUUCCUUUUAAGGAAUAUAACGCGUAUACAAGUUCUUUGAGUAA